UGGAACAAAAGGUUUAGGUUGA
RNAcentral lists this non-coding RNA (22 nucleotides) under Arabidopsis thaliana (thale cress). The record is from RNAcentral. Lineage: Eukaryota; Viridiplantae; Streptophyta; Magnoliopsida; Brassicales; Brassicaceae.